GACGAACGCUGGCGGCGUGCUUAACACAUGCAAGUCGAACGGAAAGGCCCUGCUUUUGUGGGGUGCUCGAGUGGCGAACGGGUGAGUAACACGUGAGUAACCUGCCCUUGACUUUGGGAUAACUUCAGGAAACUGGGACUAAUACCGGAUAGGAGCUCCUGCUGCAUGGUGGGGGUUGGAAAGUUUCGGCGGUUGGGGAUGGACUCGCGGCUUAUCAGCUUGUUGGUGGGGUAGUGGCUUACCAAGGCUUUGACGGGUAGCCGGCCUGAGAGGGUGACCGGCCACAUUGGGACGGAGAGACGGCCCAGACUCCUACGGGAGGCAGCAGUGGGGAAUAUUGCACAAUGGGCGGAAGCCUGAUGCAGCAACGCCGCGUGCGGGAUGACGGCCUUCGGGUUGGAAACCGCUUUCGCCUGUGACGAAGCGUGAGUGACGGUAAUGGGUAAUGAAACACCGGCGAACUACGG
This 467-nucleotide ribosomal RNA is filed under the name uncultured bacterium. Its description in RNAcentral is "partial 16S ribosomal RNA". It matches the Rfam family "Bacterial small subunit ribosomal RNA", at positions 28 to 506 of the family's 1533-position model. The record is from RNAcentral.